This 460-nucleotide ribosomal RNA is filed under the name uncultured bacterium. Its description in RNAcentral is "partial 16S ribosomal RNA". It matches the Rfam family "Bacterial small subunit ribosomal RNA", at positions 338 to 795 of the family's 1533-position model. The record is from RNAcentral.
CCUACGGGGCGCUGCAGUGAGGAAUAUUGGUCAAUGGGCGGAAUCCUGAACCAGCCAUGCCGCGUGCAGGACGACGGCUCUACGAGUUGUAAACUGCUUUUGUACCGGGGUAAAAUGCCUUACGUGUAGGGUUUUGAAAGUACGGUACGAAUAAGGAUCGGCUAAAUCCGUGCCAGCAGCCGCGGUACUACGGAGGAUACGUGCGUUAUCCGGAUUCAUUGGGUUUAAAGGGUGCGUAGGUUGUUUUAUAAGUUAGCGGUGAAAUACCGAUGCUCAACAUCGGGGCUGCCGUUGAUACUGUAGGACUAGAGAUCGGAUGCAGCAGGCGGAAUGUGUAGUGUAGCGGUGAAAUGCAUAGAUAUUACACAGAACACCGAUUGCGAAGGCAGCUUGCUAGGCCGGAUCUGACACUGAGGCACGAAAGCGUGGGGAUCGAACAGGAUUAGAUACCCCUGUAGUC